This 75-nucleotide transfer RNA is filed under the name bacterium. RNAcentral's name for it is "tRNA-Gly". It matches the Rfam family "tRNA". From Rfam's summary of the family: Transfer RNA (tRNA) molecules are approximately 80 nucleotides in length. Their secondary structure includes four short double-helical elements and three loops (D, anti-codon, and T loops). RNAcentral also lists the same sequence under 3 other names. The record is from RNAcentral.
GCGGGUAUCGUAUAGUGGUUAUUAUGCGGCCUUCCCAAGGCUGAAAGGCGGGUUCGAUUCCCGCUACCCGCUCCA